Molecule: ribosomal RNA, 568 nt
Filed under: uncultured bacterium
Lineage: Bacteria
Description: bacterial SSU rRNA
Rfam family: Bacterial small subunit ribosomal RNA
Source: RNAcentral
ACGGGUGGGUAACGCGUGGGAACGCGCCCUUCGGUUCGGAAUAACUCAGGGAAACUUGAGCUAAUACCGGAUACGCCCAUGGCCUCUGGCCCUGGGGAAAGGUUUACUGCCGAAGGAUCGGCCCGCGUCUGAUUAGCUAGUUGGUGAGGUUAUGGCUCACCAAGGCGACGAUCAGUAGCUGGUCUGAGAGGAUGAUCAGCCACACUGGGACUGAGACACGGCCCAGACUCCUACGGGAGGCAGCAGUGGGGAAUAUUGGACAAUGGGGGCAACCCUGAUCCAGCCAUGCCGCGUGAGUGAUGACGGCCUUAGGGUUGUAAAGCUCUUUUCUCCGGGACGAUAAUGACGGUACCGGAGGAAUAAGCCCCGGCUAACUUCGUGCCAGCAGCCGCGGUAAUACGAAGGGGGCUAGCGUUGCUCGGAAUCACUGGGCGUAAAGGGCGCGUAGGCGGCUGAUUUAGUCGAGGGUGAAAGCCCGUGGCUCAACCACGGAAUGGCCUUCGAUACUGAUUGGCUUGAGACCGGAAGAGGACAGCGGAACUGCGAGUGUAGAGGUGAAAUUCGUAGA